CUGGCUCAGGACGAACGCUGGCGGCAUGCCUAACACAUGCAAGUCGAACGGGGGUAGCAAUACCCUAGUGGCGAACGGGUGAGUAACACAUAAGCAAUCUGCCCUUCACAGGGGGAUAACAGCGGGAAACUGCUGCCAAUACCGCAUAAGACCACGGUACCGCAUGGUACAGGGGUAAAAACGAAUCAGUGGUGAAGGAUGAGCUUAUGUCCCAUUAGCUAGUUGGUGAGAUAACAGCCCACCAAGGCGACGAUGGGUAGCCGACCUGAGAGGGUGAUCGGCCACACUGGAACUGAGACACGGUCCAGACUCCUACGGGAGGCAGCAGUGGGGAAUAUUGGGCAAUGGAAGGAAACUCUUACCCAGCAAUGCCGCGUGAGUGAAGAAGGUCUUCGGAUUGUAAAGCUCUUUGAUUGGGGACGAAGAAAGUGACGGUACCCAAAGAACAAGCCCCGGCUAACUACGUGCCAGCCGCCGC
This 478-nucleotide ribosomal RNA is filed under the name uncultured bacterium. RNAcentral describes it as "bacterial SSU rRNA". It matches the Rfam family "Bacterial small subunit ribosomal RNA", at positions 19 to 518 of the family's 1533-position model. The record is from RNAcentral.